CCAUGUGAUGAGUCUAAGGCGAAUGUGACCUGCUUCCUCCUGACCUUACCCCUUUGCACCCCCACCCUUCUGGUCAGGGUGGGGGUUGUCUGUACUGAUCUGUGAUCUUGGUAGGGGGGAGGGAGCUCCCCCCCCCACCGUAAAGACAGAUCUAUAUCAAACUUCAGCCCCCCCAUACCCAGCCACAGCGUCCAGAGGCCCCAGUACCCUGCGGUCUGGGAAAGUGGGCACAUGCCUGCUUGGGGGUCAAAGGUCAGGGUGACGGGAAGUUGAAAUGAGCACUAGUUCUCGAAAUCUGAUG
This is a small nucleolar RNA of Mauremys mutica (yellowpond turtle), 301 nucleotides long. Lineage: Eukaryota; Metazoa; Chordata; Testudines; Geoemydidae. The record is from RefSeq and is a predicted model, not a curated record.